UACGGGGGGGGCAAGCGUUGUUCGGAAUUACUGGGCGUAAAGGGCUCGUAGGUGGCCAACUAAGUCAGACGUGAAAUCCCUCGGCUUAACCGAGGAACUGCGUCCGAUACUGGUGGGCUUGAAUCCGGGAGAGGGAUGUGGAAUUCCAGGUGUAGCGGUGAAAUGCGUAGAUAUCUGGAGGAACACCGGUGGCGAAGGCGGCAUCCUGGACCGGUAUUGACGCUGAGGCGCGAAAGCUAGGGGAGCAAACGGG
This 253-nucleotide ribosomal RNA is filed under the name uncultured bacterium. RNAcentral's name for it is "partial 16S ribosomal RNA". It matches the Rfam family "Bacterial small subunit ribosomal RNA", at positions 524 to 776 of the family's 1533-position model. The record is from RNAcentral.